This 460-nucleotide ribosomal RNA is filed under the name uncultured bacterium. RNAcentral's name for it is "partial 16S ribosomal RNA". It matches the Rfam family "Bacterial small subunit ribosomal RNA", at positions 338 to 795 of the family's 1533-position model. The record is from RNAcentral.
CCUACGGGGUGCAGCAGUGAGGAAUAUUGGUCAAUGGGCGGAAGCCUGAACCAGCCAAGUAGCGUGCAGGAUGACGGCCCUACGGGUUGUAAACUGCUUUUAUACGGGAAUAACGCGCCUUACGUGUAGGGCUUUGCAUGUACCGUAUGAAUAAGGACCGGCUAAUUCCGUGCCAGCAGCCGCGGUAAUACGGAAGGUCCGGGCGUUAUCCGGAUUUAAUGGGGUUAAAGGGAGCGUAGGCCGCAUGUCAAGCGUGCUGUGAAAUGUCCGGGCUCAACCCGGGCCUUGCAGCGCGAACUGGCGUGCUUGAGUCCGCGGAAAGCAGGCGGAAUUCGUCGUGUAGCGGUGAAAUGCUUAGAUAUGACGAAGAACCCCGAUUGCGAAGGCAGCUUGCUGCAGCGGAACUGACGCUGAUGCUCGAAAGCGCGGGUAUCGAACAGGAUUAGAUACCCCAGUAGUC